This is a long non-coding RNA of Dreissena polymorpha, 3287 nucleotides long. RefSeq lists it as uncharacterized. Lineage: Eukaryota; Metazoa; Mollusca; Bivalvia; Myida; Dreissenidae. The record is from RefSeq and is a predicted model, not a curated record. The transcript is spliced from 3 exons.
GUCCAGCUGAACGAUCAAACCACUUCACAUUUGAUUUCGCGCAAAGUGUAGAUAUACCGCACCAUGCACGACAGAUGGGGCCAUUAUAUUUCGCAUCGUUAAGAAAGGUCCACAUUUUUGGAAUGGGAAUUGAUGGACAAUCACUUCAAUUUAAUUUUCUUAUCGACGAAAAUUAGAGCAUCGGUGCAGAUGGAAUUAAUGCACAGGGACCAAACGCUGUCAUCUCGAUGAUAGACUACGUGCCAACACCCAUGGUUGCGCAGACCUCUCGUGCACAAUACACGCUGAUAAUUGUCCGGACGCUCGGACUGUGACAGCAUUCAACAGCUAAAGGAUAUUGUCAACAACUCGUCUACUGCAAACGAGGCUGUCCGAUAUCCGACCUGGCGCUGGCGUGACUGGAAGACUUUCUUGUCUACAUCUUUUAAAGCAAUACCCGGGAUAAGAAAGUACCAGUACUUCAGGUUCGACUCAUCGAAGCCCGGCACGGUUGUCGCGAAGAAAGCUACGGACCAUCCAGAAGUAGAGUUCUUCAUCAUGACACACAGGGAACUCCACUCAGCAGAACCGUGCUUAAUUAAUCCGGCAGGGCUAUCGGAGAAUCGCAUGAAAUACCUGUACAGGACUGUUCGACCAUUUGUGCGACCAUGUUAUCAGGACAUUACCUGUCCAACACCCACAGACUGAUUGCAUGUGAUUACAUCAAACAUCAACCUGAACAGUUAUUUAAAUCCAUGCGCAUGUUUAUUAAUUUGUUUCCAACAUGUUAUCGAAUAUUUGAAUAAGUGUUUGAUAUUGCGAAAUAUUUACAUACUGUUAUAGUCAUGAAUGCGUCAUUCCGAUUGAAAAUGACGCGACGUCAACAUCUUUGUUGCGUUACAGUAUGCGUAUAUAAUGUCGUCAUAGCAACGCUAAACAGUGGCGUACACAUGAAAUUUAUACACCAUUUGAUUUGUGGAUAAACGUACAAUAUGAAACUGAAAAAAACUAAAAAUUGAUUCUUUUGUCAUUAAUGCAGGUUUUGACGUGGAACGGCUCUUAACUACGUUUGAGUUUUUAUGACUUCAGUAGAAAAGCUCUGUUUAGAGUGUAAUCUGCAUAGAAAAAUCAUAAUAUUAUGUAUAUACGUUAUGCUUUUGAUAUAUUUGCGAAAUGAAAAUUGGGCUGUGACGAGAAAAUGUAGUCACACAUUACUUAAUGGGGCACACUUCAUAAAUUAAAAGCAAGAACAUCUCACACCUCAUUUUUCAACAGCCAGUUUUAUCGUAAAUUAUGGAUACUAGCAGGGUGUUAGACAAGAUAUAUUAACCACUCCAUUAGUAAUUAUACGUAGUUAUACAUUGAGCAAAGUUUACAUAUUUGUUUUGUAUUCAGCAAUGAAAGUAUGGAGAUUAUGGCAAUUUAUUUAUUUUAUCUAAAUGGAUCUUUAGAUAUAUAAUAUAAAGUUGACUGCAACAGGGAUUGAAAUAUGUUAUAUUUCCCUCUACUCUUGUUAAUUGUGCAAGCAAAAGAUGCCAUUAUUUUUGUUUUCUUUAACAAUUGUGUAAUAAUUCUGGUAUAUAGUAAAAUAUUAUAAAUUUCGUGGUACUUGACGGCUUCACGUAAGUCCCUUUUCACAUGGAUUGUUUCACUACGGAUAUUGAAUUUUUUGUUUUUACCAGAAGUCAAAAUGUAAAAACAACUUCAAUUUGUCAUCUUCACUGCUAAAUGAUGCGUCAAUAUUUACGAUAGAUUGUUCACUUUAACUCUUAGUACUUUUGGACAAAGAAGCAAUCUGGUUUCUCGAAAAGCGAAUUUGAAUGUUAUAAAGAUGGUUAUUAACUAAGAUUAGAUAGUAUCCAACAUGCAAUCUAAAUUCAUAUUUAUCCCGGCCAGGUGUGAAUUGUUGAGACAGUUUCAGGCUCAUAAAACAACAUUGAUUGUGUCAUGAUAAUCUUCCAAAAACAUACACGGUCAUGUGUAUCUUUGUAGAUUUGAUCACCAUUAAGGAACUAUUAAUUUCUUAAAUGACUCCAUGUGUCCGGGUAAACUUAUAACCUGUUUAUUAAAAAUGCAGCAAUUUAUCACUAAACCCUUUCUGGUUUUGCACAAAAUGUAUAUUAACAAUUAUUGUAUAAAUUGAUCCAUAUGGAAGUAAUUCUAAGCUAUGUUUCUAUGUCAAUUAGUAUUGUAUUUGGUCCCACAUAACAUAAUUCCUAUACGAUGCAUUGUAUAAGUUUAAGUCAUUCUUAAAAUGCUAAUAACCGGAAUGGGCGGUGGAUGAUUUCCCUUUGAGUCGGUUUUGUUCGCCCAUAGCGUCAUUGACAAAAAACUUCCUUGUUCAGUGCAUAUAACAGAUAGUUAUGUAUAUUCAAUGUAUACGUUAUUGUGUGGCAUUUUAUGAAGUGCUUAUUUCAAAAACAUUUAAUAUCGUGCUUUUCUAUUGAUACCAUACAAGUUAGAAUGAUUAUCAGAAAUGAUCCGGGGAAAAAUAAAAAACUAUAGUUUCUGAAAAACAGAUCUUAUAUUUCCCUUGCUGAAAAUAACAUUAAUUUUACAAUUACAUUGUUGCGUAUUUGAAGUAUUAUAUGAUGGUUAAAACACGUAUACGUUUCAGUUAAAACUCACUAAUAUGUACUAGUACUUAUGAAAUAUUAUGAGCAUUAAUUAUACGCUUAAAUAAUAUAAUUUAGUCGUACUCGGUUUUCCUAAUUCACUUAAUGCAUGAGAUCUAUGAAAAUAUAACCGAAUAAGGAUAUAUCUAUUUAACUCAAUUCGAAUACUAAUAACAGUACUUUAAUGUGGCCAUAAGCUAUAUACGAUAGAAAAUAUAUCCAUAUUCAAUCAUGUGAUGACACAUUUAGCUGGGAUAACGGUCACAUACAUUAUUUUAAAGCAUGAUUAGAUAUUAUGAAACUUGCAACAAAAGUAUGAGUUCUCAUAUUGUCGAGAUGAAUUGAUGUGAUAUAAAAUGAAUGUGCAAACACUUUGUAAAAUGAUUUCGGUGUACAAAAACAACAUUAAAAAGAUUUGAAAUGCAAGUUCCAGCUGCGGUUGAUGUUAAUUAGCUCUCUGUGGAUAUUCACUUGAUAAUGUUUUUGAUACAAGUUAAUAUGCAAAGUUUCUAUAGGUGAUAUCUGCAUCUGAGGAAAAGCUAUACUAAGACAAAAAGAAAAACAUGUUUGUAAAACUUUAUUGUUCCGCUGUGGAGCCCUUCAAUGCUAGCACGCACUAAAAAUAAAUACGAUACGUAAAAUACAUUUGUUAUUUAGUUAUUGGUUCAACACUGUAAAAUACAAUUGUAUAAG